RNAcentral lists this ribosomal RNA (477 nucleotides) under uncultured bacterium. RNAcentral's name for it is "partial 16S ribosomal RNA". It matches the Rfam family "Bacterial small subunit ribosomal RNA", at positions 30 to 507 of the family's 1533-position model. The record is from RNAcentral.
AUUGAACGCUGGCGGCAUGCCUUACACAUGCAAGUCGAACGGUAACAGGUUAAGCUGACGAGUGGCGAACGGGUGAGUAAUGUAUCGGAACGUGCCCAGUCGUGGGGGAUAACUGCUCGAAAGAGCAGCUAAUACCGCAUACGACCUGAGGGUGAAAGCGGGGGAUCGCAAGACCUCGCGCGAUUGGAGCGGCCGAUAUCAGAUUAGGUAGUUGGUGAGGUAAAGGCUCACCAAGCCGACGAUCUGUAGCUGGUCUGAGAGGACGACCAGCCACACUGGGACUGAGACACGGCCCAGACUCCUACGGGAGGCAGCAGUGGGGAAUUUUGGACAAUGGGCGUAAGCCUGAUCCAGCCAUGCCGCGUGCGGGAAGAAGGCCUUCGGGUUGUAAACCGCUUUUGUCAGGGAAGAAAAGGUUCUGGCUAAUACCUGGGACUCAUGACGGUACCUGAAGAAUAAGCACCGGCUAACUACGUG